This 2968-nucleotide long non-coding RNA is filed under the name Salmo salar (Atlantic salmon). RNAcentral's name for it is "lncRNA (ENSSSAG00000099335.1)". The record is from RNAcentral. Lineage: Eukaryota; Metazoa; Chordata; Actinopteri; Salmoniformes; Salmonidae.
GGUGGUAGGCUUAGUUUAUGAUUUAUUGAAAUCAGAAUAAUAAAAAAUAAAGGUGUAGAUUCAGAAUAUCUCAUGUUCAUGGCACUGCUUUGAAUAAGAUCUAUUGAAGAUUGAAAUCCGAAUCUAUUUUUCUUCUCUCACAAAUUACAGACCAAAAAGGUCUCCCCUGAUUCAAAAUAUACAAUUGUCAGUCAUGGCAUGCUUUGAAAACCAAAUAUCUAAUAUAAAACACAUUUUACCUCGGUGUAAAACCAAAAGAUAACCAAUUUGGCUUGGGCGAUUUAUAUCAGCGUUAAGCCAUUCAUUCCGCGAGAAAUUACGCUCGUAUAUUGUGAGUGAAGGCUUAAUUACAAAAAAAUAAAAGAAAGCACGUGAUCAGCAAGGAUUGCAGUCAUGAAACCUCGCUUUGUCUCUGGGACAUUCAACUAUCAAUCCGUUUCAUCCCAUCACAUUAUCAUCAUCACCAUAUGUUGUUCAUAUAUUUAUCAUAUAUAUUUAAUCAUGGUUUUACACAGGACAAGGAAUGAAACUUUAAGCGGCAGAAUUACACAUCAGGCCUACAUAAGAGCGCAAAUUCAUUACAGUGCAGUUAUACAAAAUGUUGUAUAUACAAACAAACAUAAACAUUUAUAUGCACAUAAUCACAUUAGUCCAGUUUGGAACAUGGUGCGUAAUAGGCCUCUAUCUCAUUGUGCCAAAUUAACACUUAACGGUUACGCACAGCGUUUGGACCAUGCAGUUGGCAAAAAUCGUAAAUUCCUCCAUGACUACAUUCGAUAACACAAGUUACCCAGUCCUGGUACAAAUGUUACCACCCGAUGGGGUAACGGGUUCUACUUGUAGGAUGUCCGGGCCUCUCUGAGAGACCUAUCGUAGGGCAUGGAGGCGAAAAAGGAGGUUCUCAGCUGACAGUUGAUGAAGAAGACGAUGAGCAGCACGAGCAGAAACAGAACCAGACAGAUCACCACGUAGGUUGCCAGGUCUGGUUUGUUCAUCUCUCCGCCCUCCCGCAGUCCACCCCUGUUAUCCGUGGGCCUGAGCAGGCCCGCCAUGCUCACCGAGCCGUUAGAUGCGUUCACGGACCCAGACGCGUGCGUCUGAUGGGCCAGCCCUAAGUCGAAGUCCGGUGCGUUGGUGGAAUUCAGCAGGAUUUGCCUCAACAUGACUGCUUGCGUCACCCGGUCAACGUUCAACUGGGAAGGGGAGGAAAAUACCAGAUUUUAAUCACAGACCAAUAUAACGAUAGGCAACCAUAACGUUCAACCAUGCAAAUGUAGACUAUGUGAACAGUUCGCAAACGAUCAUGAGAACAACUCAAUUUGGCUGUAGACCUGUGUGAAAGACAAUGACGCACAAGGAAGAAAUGGAGUGUGUCAAGAAGGCAAAGAUAAGUGAGUGUUGAGUCAAUAAUACCCCGUACGACUCCGCUACUUACUUUGGUGUGUGCAGCGGAGAGUCUCCGCAGGUGAGGUGGUGAUCCAGGGAAACAGUGCCCGCAUUCCUCAGACUCUGACCGCUCUAUCCAAUCUCUCCCGGGGAGAACGCGCUCUGGAGAGGCGGUGUUGUUCUGGCACUAAAUCCCCUGCGCCUACAGACCAUAUGUCCGUGAGUCACUAAUUUAGCCGCAGAACCGAAUUCGUAUAUCCUUGUAUGUCGAAGUCACUAAAAAUCACCAUAGGUUGUCUAGACUCGUUACCAGUGACGUAAACCGCCAGGAGCUUCUCCGGCGGUAUAGUGUUGAGAUCAUGAGGACGGAACUAGCGAUUUUAAUACUCGGAUUUCUUCGUUGAGAUUUCUUACCGUAAACACCUAGCCUAUCUGGACUGUAAGUUCACGUAAUGUCGCUAAAUGGUUCUACUUGGAAUAGCCUAGUUGGUAAAGUUUCAUAAGACCAUCCUUAUAAGCACGCAAUUUAUCUCGUCUGGCUGGUCCAAGUGGGUUCUUUAAAGCGCGCUGUAACAAGUGGAUUUAUCGGGUCGAGCGCGGGCUGAGAGAGGGUAGACAAGGGUACACUGGUUCACAGCCGGUUCCUCCUCGCGCCCCGCGCACGUUCUUAUUUCCAGGAAAGGUCGACAAGUCUCGGUUUUGAGUGCCUUCAACUCCAACCGAUCCCCCGACGGGAAUAUCGAUCCAGACCCGAAGAGUGGGGUGGGGAGAGAGAAAAUGUAUAGAAGGUUCAGAGAUCCGUCUCCUCUCCGGUAGCGCGAUCUCUUUCUCUCCAGGUCGUAGGCUAUACAGCUUCCUCCCUGCCUCGGUUUGUGUGCUGUGGGGAGAGGAUAGAUUGGUUACCAAGAGAGGUAGAGGGCGAACGCUGGACGGGCUUCCCUGUUCGCUCGGGGUUGGUUAAGAGAUGUCAUUGGACAGGGACGAGUUAAAGUCAAGCGUGUCACGUGACGUCUAGUUCCCCUCACUCUUUCCUUCUCUCGUGUUUUUCUCCCAACAUGUCCUUCUUCAUUCGUGAGAAGUUUGGAGAAUAUGACAGAACGCGCAUGAAUACAGCACAGCCCCUGAAGAGAAACCACAAAGACCACAGCAGAACAUUAGGCAUCAGUCUAUUCUCUAUUUUAGAAUGAAAGGAUAUGAUGACAUUUGUCAUGAAUAUUCAGGUGAAGGUGACCAUUGGGCCCAUCAUUAUUAUAGUAGGCAUUUGGGUUGUGUAUGAUUAAUACACCACUGCCUUAAAAGGUUGGCUGGCUGGUUCAUAUUCAUGUGCACCUGUCGUGGUCGCAACAGGACACGUUGGCAAGGCAAGGACAGACCGACAUGGUCCACUGAUGGACACAUGCACACACAUACCUCAUAAAUAUCUGCCAAGCGAGGAAAGAUUAAAAAACAUUUACCAUUGCAGAACAGGAGUUUGAUUUCAUGUGCAAUAUGAAAUCUUACAGUAUUAUAUUUUUACUAUCAUAACAAUAUGAUACAACAGAAUCUAUACAACUAGAAAAUAGUACAAAUAAAUAAAACCCUG